GCCAGCAGCCAUAUCACUCUGCAACUUACAACUGGCAGCCCACUGGAGCUCAGCAGGUGUGAGCCUGGUCAGUACCUGGAUGGGAGACCUCCUGGGAAACCUAAGGUUGCUGAUGGUA
Lepisosteus oculatus (spotted gar) is the source of this 118-nucleotide ribosomal RNA. NCBI's taxonomy places the organism in Eukaryota, Metazoa, Chordata, Actinopteri, Semionotiformes, Lepisosteidae. The record is from Rfam.